UACGAAGGGGGCUAGCGUUGCUCGGAAUCACUGGGCGUAAAGCGCACGUAGGCGGGUUCUUAAGUCAGGGGUGAAAUCCUGGAGCUCAACUCCAGAACUGCCUUUGAUACUGGGAAUCUCGAGUCCGGGAGAGGUGAGUGGAACUGCGAGUGUAGAGGUGAAAUUCGUAGAUAUUCGCAAGAACACCAGUGGCGAAGGCGGCUCACUGGCCCGGUACUGACGCUGAGGUGCGAAAGCGUGGGGGGCAAACAGG
This 253-nucleotide ribosomal RNA is filed under the name uncultured bacterium. RNAcentral describes it as "partial 16S ribosomal RNA". It matches the Rfam family "Bacterial small subunit ribosomal RNA", at positions 524 to 776 of the family's 1533-position model. The record is from RNAcentral.